RNAcentral lists this small RNA (768 nucleotides) under Histoplasma capsulatum. RNAcentral describes it as "hypothetical RNA". RNAcentral also lists the same sequence under 1 other name. The record is from RNAcentral. Lineage: Eukaryota; Fungi; Ascomycota; Eurotiomycetes; Onygenales; Ajellomycetaceae.
CGGGGAUUUUCUAAGGGGUUUUUGGACAGAACUGCAAUUGUUUCUCAACUCCUUGUUUCAGUUUUAGUUUGAAUAUACGAGCAAGGUCGGUGGUGGGAAGGGCGAAAAUUGCAUAGUGCCUGCUUGCCUGCCUUUUGGUUUUAUUCUACUAUUGUUCUACUGAUAUUGGAUGUGGGGGGAAAUAUAUAUAUAGAGAGAGAGAGACAGAUGUAUGUCCUUACCAUCUCUGACUCGGGCCUCAACACCCACAUAGCUUCAUCCUGCUUGUUUCUCAAAAUAUUAUGGAAAACCCGCAUCUAAAUAUAAUCCCAUCCACCGAUGAGAACCUCAUAGUCGUGGGCGAGUUUAAAACGUGUUUUUUUAAACUGAAUCGAAAAGGCUAAUUCCAUCGGGAAGUGAUCCAACCUGUUACGUGCUGACAAGCUAUAUAUUUAUUUAUAUAACCCAAAAAAUUAAAAAAUAAAUAAAAAAUAAAAAAUCAACAGAUAUAGUGUGCAUCAAAGCACAAAAGAGGCGGGUAGAAUUAAGUUUAACCCAUCCAAGCAAACACUGGACAAAAUAUCACCACAGCAAGCUGGAGGGAAUCAUAUAAAUUACCCGUGAAUAAAUACGUAAGAUCCCCUCCGAAAACCAAAAAGGGGAGUUAGUGUAAAGCGGAAAUAGCUAAGAGGGCCAGAAAAGAUACACAAAAGCUGGAUAAUCCACCAAAAUAAAUGAGCGUUUAUAUAUAUAUAUAUAUUUAUCCUCGACAUUCGUUCGAACCAUAGA